GUGACCUCAAAUCAGGUAGGACUACCCGCUGAACUUAAGCAUAUCAAUAAGCGGAGGAAAAGAAACUAACAAGGAUUCCCCUAGUAACUGCGAGUGAAGCGGGAAAAGCUCAAAUUUAAAAUCUGUCAGUCUUUGGCUGUCCGAGUGGUA
RNAcentral lists this ribosomal RNA (150 nucleotides) under uncultured Cortinarius. RNAcentral describes it as "partial 28S ribosomal RNA". It matches the Rfam family "Eukaryotic large subunit ribosomal RNA", at positions 1 to 147 of the family's 3401-position model. The record is from RNAcentral. Lineage: Eukaryota; Fungi; Basidiomycota; Agaricomycetes; Agaricales; Cortinariaceae.